UACGUAGGGCGCAAGCGUUGUCCGGAAUUAUUGGGCGUAAAGAGCUCGUAGGCGGCUUGUCACGUCGGGUGUGAAAGCCCGGGGCUUAACCCCGGGUCUGCAUUCGAUACGGGCUAGCUAGAGUGUGGUAGGGGAGAUCGGAAUUCCUGGUGUAGCGGUGAAAUGCGCAGAUAUCAGGAGGAACACCGGUGGCGAAGGCGGAUCUCUGGGCCAUUACUGACGCUGAGGCACGAAAGCGUGGGUAGCAAACAGG
RNAcentral lists this ribosomal RNA (253 nucleotides) under uncultured bacterium. RNAcentral's name for it is "partial 16S ribosomal RNA". It matches the Rfam family "Bacterial small subunit ribosomal RNA", at positions 524 to 776 of the family's 1533-position model. The record is from RNAcentral.